This 25-nucleotide non-coding RNA is filed under the name Mus musculus (house mouse). Lineage: Eukaryota; Metazoa; Chordata; Mammalia; Rodentia; Muridae. The record is from RNAcentral.
UGAAUCUUUUGGAGAGUUCCCCCAG